AGAGUUUGAUCCUGGCUCAGGAUGAACGCCGGCGGUGUGCCUAAUACAUGCAAGUCGUACGCACUGGCCCAACUGAUUGAUGGUGCUUGCACCUGAUUGACGAUGGAUCACCAGUGAGUGGCGGACGGGUGAGUAACACGUAGGUAACCUGCCUCGGAGCGGGGGAUAACAUUUGGAAACAGAUGCUAAUACCGCAUAACAACAAAAGCCACAUGGCUUUUGUUUGAAAGAUGGCUUUGGCUAUCACUCUGGGAUGGACCUGCGGUGCAUUAGCUAGUUGGUAAGGUAACGGCUUACCAAGGCAAUGAUGCAUAGCCGAGUUGAGAGACUGAUCGGCCACAAUGGAACUGAGACACGGUCCAUACUCCUACGGGAGGCAGCAGUAGGGAAUCUUCCACAAUGGGCGCAAGCCUGAUGGAGCAACACCGCGUGAGUGAAGAAGGGUUUCGGCUCGUAAAGCUCUGUUGUUGGAGAAGAACGUGCGUGAGAGUAACUGUUCACGCAGUGACGGUAUCCAACCAGAAAGUCACGGCUAACUACGUGCCAGCAGCCGCGGUAAUACGUAGGUGGCAAGCGUUAUCCGGAUUUAUUGGGCGUAAAGCGAGCGCAGGCGGUUGCUUAGGUCUGAUGUGAAAGCCUUCGGCUUAACCGAAGAAGUGCAUCGGAAACCGGGCGACUUGAGUGCAGAAGAGGACAGUGGAACUCCAUGUGUAGCGGUGGAAUGCGUAGAUAUAUGGAAGAACACCAGUGGCGAAGGCGGCUGUCUGGUCUGCAACUGACGAUGAGGCUCGAAAGCAUGGGUAGCGAACAGGAUUAGAUACCCUGGUAGUCCAUGCCGUAAACGAUGAGUGCUAGGUGUUGGAGGGUUUCCGCCCUUCAGUGCCGGAGCUAACGCAUUAAGCACUCCGCCUGGGGAGUACGACCGCAAGGUUGAAACUCAAAGGAAUUGACGGGGGCCCGCACAAGCGGUGGAGCAUGUGGUUUAAUUCGAAGCUACGCGAAGAACCUUACCAGGUCUUGACAUCUUGCGCUAACCUUUGAGAUAAGGCGUUCCCUUCGGGGACGCAAUGACAGGUGGUGCAUGGUCGUCGUCAGCUCGUGUCGUGAGAUGUUGGGUUAAGUCCCGCAACGAGCGCAACCCUUGUUACUAGUUGCCAGCAUUAAGUUGGGCACUCUAGUGAGUCUGCCGGUGGCAAACCGGAGGAAGGUGGGGACGACGUCAGAUCAUCAUGCCCCUUAUGACCUGGGCUACACACGUGCUACAAUGGACGGUACAACGAGUCGCAAGCUCGCGAGAGUAAGCUAAUCUCUUAAAGCCGUUCUCAGUUCGGACUGUAGGCUGCAACUCGCCUACACGAAGUCGGAAUCGCUAGUAAUCGCGGAUCAGCAUGCCGCGGUGAAUACGUUCCCGGGCCUUGCACACACCGCCCGUCA
RNAcentral lists this ribosomal RNA (1434 nucleotides) under uncultured bacterium. Its description in RNAcentral is "bacterial SSU rRNA". It matches the Rfam family "Bacterial small subunit ribosomal RNA". The record is from RNAcentral.